CAAAGCCCACCCUACGAUUGAUUUUUGUUUUCUUCUAGAAUCAACUUCAAGUUUGCUAGAGCAGCUGUAUUUAUUUGCAAGAGGCUUUGGGCAUGAAUUUUUUUCCCCAGGUAUAUUAGGAAAUACACUGUCUCUUCAGUGAAAAUCGGUCUCUUUUUAAUGAUACUUGAAAAAUUAAUCACUUUUGUUCUCCAGAUUGACUUUUAAAUCUUUCCCUUUAGAAAUCGCCGGCUGGACAUCCAGAGCACCUAGCCUGUUUUUUUCUGCAUCUUGAAUUGAGCAUUAACAGGACUCUUGAAGAGUACAUCCUGCAGAGAGUAGCUUAAGCUAGAAAGGACUGCCUGUGACACCUGCCUGCUAUCUAUAAAACACUCAUUCCUCUUUCAAUGAUGCUGACUUAUUCACCAACACUUUCCAAGAAUGUGUUUACAUUAAAGCAGAGCCAGGAUGUUAAGAGUACCAGAUUGCAGAUUACUUUGCCAUUGCUUCAGUGGCAUCCAGAGUGAGUCACCCUGCCUCAGUUACAGCAAGAGGAGCUCUG
RNAcentral lists this long non-coding RNA (541 nucleotides) under Canis lupus dingo (dingo). Its description in RNAcentral is "lncRNA (ENSCAFG00020015545.1)". The record is from RNAcentral. Lineage: Eukaryota; Metazoa; Chordata; Mammalia; Carnivora; Canidae.